UCUCCAUGCAUGGGAAGCUUGUAUGC
This 26-nucleotide non-coding RNA is filed under the name Homo sapiens (human). The record is from RNAcentral. Lineage: Eukaryota; Metazoa; Chordata; Mammalia; Primates; Hominidae.